UCCGGGCGGAGGACAUUGUC
Molecule: small nuclear RNA, 20 nt
Filed under: Arabidopsis thaliana (thale cress)
Lineage: Eukaryota; Viridiplantae; Streptophyta; Magnoliopsida; Brassicales; Brassicaceae
Description: snRNA_12991
Source: RNAcentral